Entelurus aequoreus (snake pipefish) is the source of this 1021-nucleotide long non-coding RNA. RefSeq lists it as uncharacterized. NCBI's taxonomy places the organism in Eukaryota, Metazoa, Chordata, Actinopteri, Syngnathiformes, Syngnathidae. The record is from RefSeq and is a predicted model, not a curated record. The transcript is spliced from 3 exons.
GCCACACCUGGUCACACCUGGUGUCAAUCAGCCUGCCUUGCCAUCCAGUCUGUGCUGGAGUGUUGUCGCUAAGACUUGUCCAUGUGAUUGUCUACUACUUGUCGUUGGAGCUACUACUUGUCACUCUCAUUGUUUGCGGCUGGCCAGCUUCCUGCCUGUGAUGGCGCUGGGCGCGUCUCUGCUUAUCUUCUGCAGCGUCUAGUUUGAUUCUUGUAAAGCUGUGUACAAGAGUGCACAUCUCCUGGAAUCCAGGGCAUGAGAGGAAAUGUCAGAGAAAGGUGUGACUUGAUAGACUAAACCAAUUUCUGCAAUUUCCAAGUGUCUUUCAAGAACAUAACUUUCAUCCUGGGAUGUCAGAACUUUUAUCUUCAAACAAAGCUUAUCGUCUUCUCUCUUCCCAUCUCCCCUGCAUUGACAGUGGAAUGAAUUUCCAUAUAAUCUGACUUUUUUUCCUUUUUGUCAGCAUAUAUAAACAAAGGCCUCACAAAUAUAUGCGGCCGGCCUGCUUCCGAGGCGAAGACUUUUUUUGAUAAAGUCGCCGCUUCCUUUCUUCAGGAGCAAGCUUGUUGUUAAGCUCUUUGAGAUGUCUAUCAGACACAAAAAAAAAAAAAAAAUCCGGGGGAAAUUACGCUGAGCGCAGCAGCCGUGCGGCGGAGGGUGAUUACGCAUUCAAAUGGAUGCUUUUUUUAUAUCAAUGGAGGGCUUUGAAGACCUUUUAAUGAGCAGAUAGUGGAGUUAAAUCGUUGUGCAAGUGCCGUCUUGGAAAGAGUAGACAAGGAAUAGUUUUUAUCCUGAGCAGGUAACGACCUAUUAAUUCAUCAAUUAGAUGAAACUACAAACAAUUGGGAGACCGGGCUUUCUGCUCCGCCGCUCCCAGUCUGUGGAACGCUCUCCCUGACCACCUGAGGGCACCACAGACUGUGGAUGCUUUUAAAAAAGGCUUGAAAACCCUUCUUUUUAAAAAAAAAAGCCUUCUUUUUUUUAAGAUAUAUGCAUACUAGUUUUAGCCAUUAGUGUUGUU